UACGAGGGGUGCAAGCGUUAUUCGAAAUUACUGGGCGUAUAGGGUGCGCAGGCGGCGUGCUAAGUCAACCGUUAAAGACCUCGGCCUAACCGAGGAAAGGCGGUAGAUACUAGUAUGCUAGAGGGUGGAAGAGAGAAGUGGAAUUCUUGGAGUAGCGGUAAAAUGCGUAGAUCCCAAGAGGAACACCAAUGGCGAAGGCAGCUUCUUGGUCCAUUUCUGACGCUCAUGCACGAAAGCGUGGGGAGCAAACAGG
RNAcentral lists this unclassified non-coding RNA (253 nucleotides) under uncultured bacterium. Its description in RNAcentral is "contains 16S-23S intergenic spacer region". It matches the Rfam family "Bacterial small subunit ribosomal RNA", at positions 524 to 776 of the family's 1533-position model. The record is from RNAcentral.